RNAcentral lists this small nuclear RNA (104 nucleotides) under Castor canadensis (American beaver). The record is from RNAcentral. Lineage: Eukaryota; Metazoa; Chordata; Mammalia; Rodentia; Castoridae.
GUGCUGACUUUGGCAACACAUGUGCUAAAAUUGGAAUGAUAUGGAGAUUAGCAUGGCCUCUGCACAAGGAUGACAUACAAAUUCAUGAAAUAUUCUAUAUCAAA